UUACUGGAGAUUUAGGUGUUAAAACACCCAAAUCAAAUGAUGGAAUUUCGCCUAUUUUUUGACAUUUGGGAGUAUUCUGUUUUUUCACCAUUUUGAAUAUGGAUAAUUUUUUUUUCACUGAAAAUGUGUUUUCUUUGAAGAACUUUGAAGAUUUUUGGCGAGAGAAUGCUGCUAAUGGAGAAGAUGACAAUGGAGAGAAACAGUGAAAAGAAGAGAAAGAGGUAAAGGUAUAUGAAAGUACACGGGGGGUGGGGUGUAGUUUUUAUUGGGAAAUGUUAGCAGUUUAUGGAAGAAAUAUAAAAAUUAACAAAAAAAAACGUGGGGUUAAUUAAUAAUGUUAAAAAUCUGGUGGAAGAAAGAGAAAAAAAUGGGGAAAGAAAAUAUGGAAAUAUUAUUUUCUUCCACAUUUGAGGAUUUUUGGCGAGAGAAUGCUGCUAAUGGAGAAGUUGAAAAUGGAGAGAAACAGUGAAAAGAAGAGAAAGAGGUAAAGGUAUAUGAAAGUACACGGGGGGUGGGGUGUAGUUUUUAUUAGGAAAUUUUAGCGGUUUAUGGAAGAAAUAUAAAAAUUAACAAAAAAAACGUGGGGUUAAUUAAUAAUAUUAAAAAUCUGGUGGAAGAAAGAGAAAAAAAAUGGGGAAAGAAAAUAUGGAAAUAUUAUUUUGUUCCACAAAUAAAGCCCCUAAU
Molecule: long non-coding RNA, 684 nt
Filed under: Nicotiana benthamiana
Lineage: Eukaryota; Viridiplantae; Streptophyta; Magnoliopsida; Solanales; Solanaceae
Description: long non-coding RNA (NBEN_LNC024189)
Source: RNAcentral